AAAUCCGUCGACUUUAAAAAUCGUGAGGGUUCAAGUCCCUCUAUCCCCCAA
Molecule: transfer RNA, 51 nt
Filed under: Vitis latifolia
Lineage: Eukaryota; Viridiplantae; Streptophyta; Magnoliopsida; Vitales; Vitaceae
Also listed under: 1 other name
Description: partial tRNA-Leu
Source: RNAcentral